Long non-coding RNA from Oncorhynchus nerka (sockeye salmon), 1045 nucleotides. RefSeq lists it as uncharacterized. The record is from RefSeq and is a predicted model, not a curated record. Lineage: Eukaryota; Metazoa; Chordata; Actinopteri; Salmoniformes; Salmonidae. The transcript has 3 exons.
GCUUCUUCAGGAACAACAACACGGAUACUAUUUCAACCACCUGGGUAGCUUGCUGGACAAGGUAAAACUGAAAGAUUGACGUUUUAGGCCAUGUUAAUGUACAUUAGCUAAUCGCAGUGUAUAAAACACAUUUCAGUUGACGUUAACUUGAACCUAAUUUGCUUGUUCAAUUUGCAAAUUUGUUAAAGAUUGAUACUGAGCCUAGCACUAGGCUAUUCGCUAAUGCUAACUAGCUAGCUAACAUCCCUGACCAUGAGCUCAUUAAACUACUCAUCCCCUGCUAAAGAAGUGGAUGUCUGCUGUCCGGAGAAAGAAGCUCUGGCGCUGAACAUUGUCGUGAAAGACGAAGAGGAGGAGGAUAUUACAGUGAAAGGAGAGAAAGAUGCUCUGGCGCUGAACAUUGUCGUGAAAGACGAAGAGGAGGAUAUUACAGUGAAAGGAGAGAAAGAUGCUCUGGCGCUGAACAUUGUCGUGAAAGACGAAGAGGAGGAUAUUACAGUGAAAGGAGAGAAAGAACCUUUCAGAAUGGAAGAGGAGGCUGUUAUAGGGAAAGAAGAGAAACAUCCUCUUCCUCUCUAAAAGGUUCUAUCUCAGUAAAGGUGAAGGAGGAAGACGUUUUGGGAGUGAAAGAGGAGGAGACAGAAUAUCAGAUUAACACCAGAGAGAGACAUGACUAUUGUGGAUCCUCUGGGGAGACUCAACAUCCUGAUGCUGACGAGGCAGAGAAGAGUCUCUCCAUUUCAGAACACCAGAUGGACAACGCUAGCCCUUCCUCCCUCCCGGAGUCCCCGUGUCAUGCCUCUCCCGGUAGCACCUUACUGCUGGGUAUGAAGAGGUUGUUUGUGCUGCUGGUGGACUGCAGGAAAACAAUGGGGCUGAGUGGAACUGUGGGAGGAGGAGAAGAGAAGAAAGGAUCAGAUUUGACUCAUCAAAGUAAGUGCUGUAAUUUAGUUUGAACAAAUUAAAUAGAUCUGUCCACUGGUAUCUGUUACCAGGACAACCAGCAGAGUUCUGUUAGUUGACAGGAAGAUAGACUGGUGUAUAU